ACAGUACAAACUGAGCAGGCGAUGACCCGUUUGGGCAUGGGGCCGGGCCGCUGAUGCGGCAGCAGAUUGUUUUUAACAUCUGUGGGACAGU
RNAcentral lists this non-coding RNA (91 nucleotides) under chicken gut metagenome. Its description in RNAcentral is "NiCo riboswitch". It matches the Rfam family "NiCo (Nickel/Cobalt) riboswitch aptamer". The record is from RNAcentral.